GAUGAACGCUGGCGGCGUGCUUAACACAUGCCAGUCGAACGGACAGGCCUCUUUCGGGGGGUACUCGAGUGGCGAACGGGCGAGUAACACGUGAGUAAACUGCCCUCGUAUUUGGGAUAACUACAGGAAACAGGGGCUAAUAACGGCUAGGAGAUACUGCUGAAUGGUGGGGGCAGGAAUGAAUCGGCGGUUGGGGAUGGACUAGCGGUGUAUCAGCUUGUUGGUGGGGAAGUGGCUUACCAAGGCGUUGACGGGGAGACGGCCUGUGGGGGUGACCGGCCACAUUGGGACUGAGGGACGGCCCAGACUCCUACGGGAGGCAGCAGGGGGGAAUAUUGCACAAUGGGUGGAAGCCUGAUGCAGCAACGCCGUGGGCGGGAUGACGGCCUUCGGGUUGUAAACCGCUUUCGCUCAUGACGAAGCUUGUUGUGACGGUAGUUGGUAAAGAAGCACCGGCUAACUACGUG
Molecule: ribosomal RNA, 467 nt
Filed under: uncultured bacterium
Lineage: Bacteria
Description: partial 16S ribosomal RNA
Rfam family: Bacterial small subunit ribosomal RNA
Source: RNAcentral